GACACGUGGUAUCCUGUCUGAAUAUGGGGGGACCAUCCUCCAAGGCUAAAUACUCCUGACUGACCGAUAGUGAACCAGUACCGUGAGGGAAAGGCGAAAAGAACCCCGGCGAGGGGAGUGAAAAAGAACCUGAAACCGUGUACGUACAAGCAGUGGGAGCACGCUUAGGCGUGUGACUGCGUACCUUUUGUAUAAUGGGUCAGCGACUUAUAUUCUGUAGCAAGGUUAACCGAAUAGGGGAGCCGAAGGGAAACCGAGUCUUAACUGGGCGUUAAGUUGCAGGGUAUAGACCCGAAACCCGGUGAUCUAGCCAUGGGCAGGUUGAAGGUUGGGUAACACUAACUGGAGGACCGAACCGACUAAUGUUGAAAAAUUAGCGGAUGACUUGUGGCUGGGGGUGAAAGGCCAAUCAAACCGGGAGAUAGCUGGUUCUCCCCGAAAGCUAUUUAGGUAGCGCCUCGUGAAUUCAUCUCCGGGGGUAGAGCACUGUUUCGGCAAGGGGGUCAUCCCGACUUACCAACCCGAUGCAAACUGCGAAUACCGGAGAAUGUUAUCACGGGAGACACACGGCGGGUGCUAACGUCCGUCGUGAAGAGGGAAACAACCCAGACCGCCAGCUAAGGUCCCAAAGUCAUGGUUAAGUGGGAAACGAUGUGGGAAGGCCCAGACAGCCAGGAUGUUGGCUUAGAAGCAGCCAUCAUUUAAAGAAAGCGUAAUAGCUCACUGGUCGAGUCGGCCUGCGCGGAAGAUGUAACGGGGCUAAACCAUGCACCGAAGCUGCGGCAGCGACGCUGAUGCGUUGUUGGGUAGGGGAGCGUUCUGUAAGCCUGCGAAGGUGUGCUGUGAGGCAUGCUGGAGGUAUCAGAAGUGCGAAUGCUGACAUAAGUAACGAUAAAGCGGGUGAAAAGCCCGCUCGCCGGAAGACCAAGGGUUCCUGUCCAACGUUAAUCGGGGCAGGGUGAGUCGACCCCUAAGGCGAGGCCGAAAGGCGUAGUCGAUGGGAAACAGGUUAAUAUUCCUGUACUUGGUGUUACUGCGAAGGGGGGACGGAGAAGGCUAUGUUGGCCGGGCGACGGUUGUCCCGGUUUAAGCGUGUAGGCUGGUUUUCCAGGCAAAUCCGGAAAAUCAAGGCUGAGGCGUGAUGACGAGGCACUACGGUGCUGAAGCAACAAAUGCCCUGCUUCCAGGAAAAGCCUCUAAGCAUCAGGUAACAUCAAAUCGUACCCCAAACCGACACAGGUGGUCAGGUAGAGAAUACCAAGGCGCUUGAGAGAACUCGGGUGAAGGAACUAGGCAAAAUGGUGCCGUAACUUCGGGAGAAGGCACGCUGAUAUGUAGGUGAAGUCCCUCGCGGAUGGAGCUGAAAUCAGUCGAAGAUACCAGCUGGCUGCAACUGUUUAUUAAAAACACAGCACUGUGCAAACACGAAAGUGGACGUAUACGGUGUGACGCCUGCCCGGUGCCGGAAGGUUAAUUGAUGGGGUUAGCGCAAGCGAAGCUCUUGAUCGAAGCCCCGGUAAACGGCGGCCGUAACUAUAACGGUCCUAAGGUAGCGAAAUUCCUUGUCGGGUAAGUUCCGACCUGCACGAAUGGCGUAAUGAUGGCCAGGCUGUCUCCACCCGAGACUCAGUGAAAUUGAACUCGCUGUGAAGAUGCAGUGUACCCGCGGCAAGACGGAAAGACCCCGUGAACCUUUACUAUAGCUUGACACUGAACAUUGAGCCUUGAUGUGUAGGAUAGGUGG
Molecule: ribosomal RNA, 1744 nt
Filed under: Escherichia coli
Lineage: Bacteria; Pseudomonadati; Pseudomonadota; Gammaproteobacteria; Enterobacterales; Enterobacteriaceae
Description: partial 23S ribosomal RNA
Rfam family: Bacterial large subunit ribosomal RNA
Source: RNAcentral